GACGAACGCUGGCGGCGUGCUUAACACAUGCAAGUCGAACGGAAAGGCCCUGCUUUUGUGGGGUGCUCGAGUGGCGAACGGGUGAGUAACACGUGAGUAACCUGCCCUUGACUUUGGGAUAACUUCUGGAAACUGGGGCUAAUACCGGAUAUGAGCUCCUGCUGCAUGGUGGGGGUUGGAAAGUUUCGGCGGUUGGGGAUGGACUCGCGGCUUAUCAGCUUGUUUGUGUGGUAGUGGCUUACCAAGGCUUUGACGGGUAGCCGGCCUGAGAGGGUGACCGGCGACAUUGGGACUGAGAUACGGCCCAGAAUCCUACGGGAGGCAGCAGUGGGGAAUAUUGCACAAUGGGCGGAAGCCUGAUGCAGCAACGCCGCGUGCGGGAUGACGGCCUUCGGGUUGUAAACCGCUUUCGCCGGUGACGAAGCGUGAGUGACGGUAAUGGGUAAAGAAGCAACGGCUAACUACGUG
RNAcentral lists this ribosomal RNA (468 nucleotides) under uncultured bacterium. RNAcentral describes it as "partial 16S ribosomal RNA". It matches the Rfam family "Bacterial small subunit ribosomal RNA", at positions 28 to 507 of the family's 1533-position model. The record is from RNAcentral.